ACCUGGUUGGCUCAGUCAGUAGAGCAUGAGACCCUUGAUCCUAGGGUUGUGAGUUCCAGUCCCACAAUAGGUG
RNAcentral lists this transfer RNA (73 nucleotides) under Ailuropoda melanoleuca (giant panda). It matches the Rfam family "tRNA". From Rfam's summary of the family: Transfer RNA (tRNA) molecules are approximately 80 nucleotides in length. Their secondary structure includes four short double-helical elements and three loops (D, anti-codon, and T loops). The record is from Rfam by way of RNAcentral. Lineage: Eukaryota; Metazoa; Chordata; Mammalia; Carnivora; Ursidae.